Chlorocebus sabaeus (green monkey) is the source of this 107-nucleotide small nuclear RNA. Lineage: Eukaryota; Metazoa; Chordata; Mammalia; Primates; Cercopithecidae. The record is from Ensembl.
GUACUCGCUAUGGCAGCACAUAUACUAAAAUUGGAACAAUACAGAAGAGAUUAGCAUGGCCCCUGCGCAAAGAUGACACGCAAAUUUGUGAAGCGUUCUAUAUUUUU